UGGGAACGCGAAGAACCUUACGGGUCUUGACAUCUACCGAAUCCGGAAGAGAUUCCGGAGUGCCUUUCGGGGAACGGUAAGACAGGUGGUGCAUGGUUGUCGUCAGCUCGUGUCGUGAGAUGUUGGGUUAAGUCCCGCAACGAGCGCAACCCUUGUGAUUAGUUGCUACGCAAGAGCACUCUAAUCAGACUGCCGUUGACAAAACGGAGGAAGGUGGGGACGACGUCAAAUCAUCAUGCCCCUUAUGACCUGGGCUACACACGUACUACAAUGGCCGUCAACGGAGGGAAGCGAAACCGCGAGGCGGAGCAAACCCCUAAAACGGUACCCAGUUCGGAUCGCAGGCUGCAACCCGCCUGCGUGAAGCUGGAAUUGCUAGUAGUCGCGGAUCAGAAUGCCGCGGUGAAUACGUUCCCGGGUCUUGUACACACCG
RNAcentral lists this ribosomal RNA (433 nucleotides) under uncultured bacterium. RNAcentral's name for it is "bacterial SSU rRNA". It matches the Rfam family "Bacterial small subunit ribosomal RNA", at positions 954 to 1392 of the family's 1533-position model. The record is from RNAcentral.